Molecule: long non-coding RNA, 372 nt
Filed under: Cyanistes caeruleus (blue tit)
Lineage: Eukaryota; Metazoa; Chordata; Aves; Passeriformes; Paridae
Description: lncRNA (ENSCCEG00000015985.1)
Source: RNAcentral
AUGCUAUUAAUUCAAAGAUAUUUUUUCUCUCUUAGAAGGACCAUCUGGUUACUCAAAGGAAAAUGCUUAUCCAUUUCUCUGAACAGAGUGACAGAAUUAGUGCCAACCCUCUGGAAGUAUUACUGUUAUAACAUAGUUCAAAACCAAUUUCAUAACCUGGGACAGACACUGAAAUUUUUGAGAAAGAACACAGCCCCCACAACUUUAUGUCAGCUGAUGCUUUGCUCCCAGAGAAUUGACAUCACAGAAAGUGUAAAGACUGCUGAGUACUCUUGUGAUUAUUUUCCUCCACCUUUCAUCUGUGUCAAUUGUGAACACAAUCAUCCACGUUUAACGUCACAUUUGAAUUGGAGGAAGAAGUGGACAGCUUAA